CAGCAGCCGCGGGAAUACGAAGGGUGCAAGCGUUACUCGGAAUUACUGGGCGUAAAGCGUGCGUAGGUGGUGGUUUAAGUCCGUUGUGAAAGCCCUGGGCUCAACCUAGGAAUUGCAGUGGAUACUGGGUCACUAGAGUGUGGUAGAGGAUAGUGGAAUUUCCGGUGUAGCAGUGAAAUGCGUAGAGAUCGGAAGGAACAUCUGUGGCGAAGGCGACUAUCUGGGCCAACACUGACACUGAGGCACGAAAGCGUGGGGAGCAAACAGGAUUAGAUACCCCGGUAGUCCCUGUCUCUUAUAC
Molecule: ribosomal RNA, 301 nt
Filed under: uncultured bacterium
Lineage: Bacteria
Description: partial 16S ribosomal RNA
Rfam family: Bacterial small subunit ribosomal RNA
Source: RNAcentral